CACGCUAUAGCGGGAGAGUUCGGUUCGACGCAGCGCGAAUCGACGCCGAAGGAGCAACGGCCCCGGAAUCUCUCAGGCAAAAGGACCGCUGGCGCGUG
RNAcentral lists this non-coding RNA (98 nucleotides) under Spiribacter salinus M19-40. Its description in RNAcentral is "Glycine riboswitch aptamer". It matches the Rfam family "Glycine riboswitch aptamer". From Rfam's summary of the family: This family represents the bacterial glycine riboswitch. Glycine riboswitches usually consist of two metabolite-binding aptamers domains with similar structures in tandem. The aptamers cooperatively bind glycine to regulate the expression of downstream genes. RNAcentral also lists the same sequence under 1 other name. Lineage: Bacteria; Pseudomonadati; Pseudomonadota; Gammaproteobacteria; Chromatiales; Ectothiorhodospiraceae. The record is from Rfam by way of RNAcentral.